This 492-nucleotide ribosomal RNA is filed under the name uncultured bacterium. RNAcentral describes it as "partial 16S ribosomal RNA". It matches the Rfam family "Bacterial small subunit ribosomal RNA", at positions 29 to 507 of the family's 1533-position model. The record is from RNAcentral.
AGUGAACGCUGGCGGUAGGCCUAACACAUGCAAGUCGAACGGCAGCACAGUAAGAGCUUGCUCUUACGGGUGGCGAGUGGCGGACGUGUGAGGAAUACAUCGGAAUCUACUUUUUCGUGGGGGAUAACGUAGGGAAACUUACGCUAAUACCGCAUACGACCUACGGGUGAAAGCAGGGGAUCUUCGGCCCUUGCGCGAUUGAAUGAGCCGAUGUCGGAUUAGCUAGUUGGCGGGGUAAAGGCCCACCAAGGCGACGAUCCGUAGCUGGUCUGAGAGGAUGAUCAGCCACACUGGAACUGAGACACGGUCCAGACUCCUACGGGAGGCAGCAGUGGGGAAUAUUGGACAAAGGGCGCAAGCCUGAUCCAGCCAUACCGCGUGGGUGAAGAAGGCCUUCGGGUUGUAAAGCCCUUUUGUUGGGAAAGAAAAGCAGCAGGUUAAUACCCCGCUGUUCUGACGGUACCCAAAGAAUAAGCACCGGCUAACUUCGUG